GACGAACGCUGGCGGCGUGCUUAACACAUGCAAGUCGAACGGAAAGGCCCCUUUGGGGGUACUCGAGUGGCGAACGGGUGAGUAACACGUGAGUAACCUGCCCUUGACUUCGGGAUAACUUCAGGAAACUGGGGCUAAUACCGGAUAGGAAUCCUUGCUGCAUGGUGGGGGUUGGAAAGCUUCGGCGGUUUUGGAUGGACUCGCGGCUUAUCAGCUUGUUGGUGGGGUAGUGGCUUACCAAGGCUUUGACGGGUAGCCGGCCUGAGAGGGCGACCGGCCACAUUGGGACUGAGAUACGGCCCAGACUCCGACGGGAGGCAGCAGUGGGGAAUAUUGCACAAUGGGCGGAAGCCUGAUGCAGCAACGCCGCGUGCGGGAGGACGGCCUUUGGGUUGUAAACCGCUUUCAGCAGGGGCGAAGCUUGUGGUGACGGUACCUGCAGAAGAAGCACCGGCUAACUACGUG
Molecule: ribosomal RNA, 465 nt
Filed under: uncultured bacterium
Lineage: Bacteria
Description: partial 16S ribosomal RNA
Rfam family: Bacterial small subunit ribosomal RNA
Source: RNAcentral